UUGGAGGGCAAGUCUGGUGCCAGCAGCCGCGGUAAUUCCAGCUCCAAUAGCGUAUAUUAAAGUUGUUGCAGUUAAAAAGCUCGUAGUUGAAUUUCGGGAUCAAUUUGUCGGUCGUGCCUCGGUACGUACUGGCAUUAUUGGUUUCUACCUUCUGAAGAACCUUGAUGUCAUUAAUUUGGUGUCUUGGGGAAUCAGGACUGUUACUUUGAAAAAAUUAGAGUGUUUAAAGCAGGCAUACGCUUGAAUACAUUAGCAUGGAAUAAUGAAAUAGGACGUUUGAUUCUAUUUUGUUGGUUUCUAGGAUCGACGUAAUGAUUAAUAGGGAUAGUUGGGGGCAUUAGUAUUCAAUUGUCAGAGGUGAAAUUCUUGGAUUUAUUGAAGACUAACUACUGCGAAAGCAUUUGCCAAGGAUGUUUUCAUUAAUCAAGAACGAAAGUUAGGGGAUCGAAGACGAUCAGAUACCGUCGUAGUCUUAACCAUAAACUAUGCCGACUAGGGAUCGGAUGAUGUUAAUUUUUAAUGACUCAUUCGGCGCCUUACGGGAAAC
This 547-nucleotide ribosomal RNA is filed under the name Glomus sp. RNAcentral's name for it is "SSU rRNA". It matches the Rfam family "Eukaryotic small subunit ribosomal RNA", at positions 548 to 1098 of the family's 1831-position model. The record is from RNAcentral. RNAcentral also lists the same sequence under 1 other name. Lineage: Eukaryota; Fungi; Glomeromycota; Glomeromycetes; Glomerales; Glomeraceae.